Molecule: long non-coding RNA, 636 nt
Filed under: Apteryx owenii (little spotted kiwi)
Lineage: Eukaryota; Metazoa; Chordata; Aves; Apterygiformes; Apterygidae
Description: lncRNA (ENSAOWG00000002890.1)
Source: RNAcentral
GCUGGGUGCCGUGUUUCCCUCCCGGUCCCUCACCGUGUCCGUGAGAGAGUAGGCCGGUUCGGCACGGGUGCAGCUCAUUUAGCAGCACCCGUUACUAAGCCGAGGCCUCAGCUGACACGGGAGGAAAGAAGCUUGUUUGUCACUACAGCAAAUCUCAGAUUUAGUGUGGUGGAGGACUCUUCUCCAAGAAAUAGGCAGUGAAAGCCUGCUACAAAGAACGUUUAGUCUAAAGUUGUGCAUCUGUUUCUUUGGAGCACCAGCAAUGCUGGUGACAGAGAGCUGCUCCAGCUCCCUAUAACCUCUUCCACCAGUAGGUGUGGGACCUUACAGCGCAUUUUCUUGGUGAUACUGCCAUUUGCUGUUAGAAGUGAAAGGAUCCCAAAUGGUUUAUCAGUUUUGCAUGUGUUGCAGUAUUUGAAGCUUGGCAAUGUGAAAGUCCAAACUCGUGGAGCAGACGUCUGGAGUCUGACAGACUGCUUACUCCUUGUCACAGGCUGUCUGUUUCACAAGUAUCCUGGCAGAGCAGUCUAUCAACCAGAGCCUGGCAUUCCUUCUGCAAGCAACAGGAUGAAGAGUGCAGAGAAAUGUGAUUUCAUGAUUGCCAGUGCUGCAGGCAGCUCAGCAGAGCCAACCUGA